This 368-nucleotide ribosomal RNA is filed under the name Prymnesium parvum. RNAcentral describes it as "partial Bacterial small subunit ribosomal RNA". It matches the Rfam family "Bacterial small subunit ribosomal RNA", at positions 1153 to 1528 of the family's 1533-position model. Lineage: Eukaryota; Haptophyta; Prymnesiales; Prymnesiaceae. The record is from RNAcentral.
CGGGGUCAACUCGGAGGAAGGUGGGGAUGACGUCAAGUCAUCAUGCCCCUUAUGUCCAGGGCUUCACGCAUGCUACAAUGGCCGGUACAAAGGGCUGCGAAACCGCAAGGUGGAGCGAAUCCCAAAAAGCCGGUCUCAGUUCGGAUUGGGGUCUGCAACUCGACCCCAUGAAGUCGGAGUCGCUAGUAAUCGCAGAUCAGCAACGCUGCGGUGAAUACGUUCCCGGGCCUUGUACACACCGCCCGUCAAGCCAUGGAAGCUGGGAGUGCCUGAAGUCCGUCGCCGCAAGGAGCGGCCUAGGGUAAGACCGGUAACUGGGGCUAAGUCGAAACAAGGUAGCCGUACCGGAAGGUGCGGCUGGAUCACCU